Molecule: ribosomal RNA, 556 nt
Filed under: uncultured Chalara
Lineage: Eukaryota; Fungi; Ascomycota; Leotiomycetes; Helotiales
Description: eukaryotic LSU rRNA
Rfam family: 5.8S ribosomal RNA (bases 194-347)
Source: RNAcentral
UCCGUAGGUGAACCUGCGGAGGGAUCAUUACAGAGAAACUCGCCCGCAAGGGUGACUCUCCAACCCUAUGUUAAUUUAUACCUUUGUUGCUUUGGCGAGCCGCCUCGGCCACCGGCUUCACGCUGGUGAGUGCUCGCCGGAGGACCCUAAACUCUUGUUUAAUAAUGUCGUCUGAGUACUAUAUAAUAGUUAAAACUUUCAACAACGGAUCUCUUGGUUCUGGCAUCGAUGAAGAACGCAGCGAAAUGCGAUAAGUAAUGUGAAUUGCAGAAUUCAGUGAAUCAUCGAAUCUUUGAACGCACAUUGCGCCCUGUGGUAUUCCGCAGGGCAUGCCUGUUCGAGCGUCAGUACAACACUCAAGCCUAGCUUGGUCUUGGGCCUCGCCGGAGACGGCGGGCCUUAAAAUCAGUGGCGGCGCCUGUUAGGCCCUAAGCGUAGUAAUACUCCUCGCUACAGGGACCCGGCAGACGCUGGCCAGCAACCCCCAACUUUCUAAGUUUGACCUCGGAUCAGGUAGGGAUACCCGCUGAACUUAAGCAUAUCAAUAAGCGGAGGA